UGGAAACAUGAUGUAUUUAUUCAGCAUGUCUCUCCCCAAAACACUUAGUGGCUGAGAACUCGCCUUAAAAAAAUACACAAAAUGGUCAAAGAAAAUGUUGAAAUCUAAAAUAAGGUUCAGAUAUGUAUCCAGCUGUUCUAUCAACUUUCUAUAAAACAUUUAAAAAAAAAUCAAUAAUCGAAAUUUGAUUCAUCGCCCAGCCCUAGGGAGCAGUAGUGUGUGCGGUUGUCUGUGGUGUGUUGUGUUGUCAGUGCGCUACAGGGUUUGUGUUGUGUCCCACAGCGUAACAGCCGUUUCAGGCUCUUGGAGGCGGAAUGCAGAAAGGCCAUCGAUGUGGGGGUAGCCAGACGGCAGAAGGAGAUGGGGCUCGGAGAAAAGACUCCCAAAGUCACAACCAUCAAGCAGGCCCGUGAGGAGUUGCUGGAGCUGAGGAGCUCGGAGGGCAAGCUGGCGCGACUCAAUGUCGCGGCCUCACCGAGGAGGCAGCGAGGGGAACGCAUCAGGGCUCUGGCCCUCAGGACAGGGAGGUCAGAGGCGUCCGUCUCCAGAGAACUGCUGCUGCUGUCCAAUGGGAACGCGCAACCUGGACGGACAGGAAGUGAUCCGCCGUCGGCUCCCGAGGUCGUGGCUCGGAUGGAAGAGACGGACUCCGAUGAGGAGAACCUUCCCUCAGACACGCGCGACUACAUCGGCAGCAGCGUCCGUGGUGACGGCAAGGUCGACAUUGAGGCAUUGGCGGAUGACGUAUCAAAUACCGUGGAUGACAAGAAGUGUCUGGUCACGGCCUUCAAGUCUCUACGCUCUGAACUCAACUGUAUGACCGCAACCAAAACGGAACUCCUGGCCUCGGCCUGCAGCGUGAUCUGUGAUCUGAAGGACGAGGAGAAGCUCUGUGAGAAGGUUAUGGUGGCCCUGAGACACCAGCGAGCCCGCCUCAUCAACACCAUCUCUGUUAGAUCUGGGAGGUCAACCAGGAAGAUCCUGGAGAAGCUUCAGAGCAUCACAGCCAAGCAGCGGCAGCUGGAGGUGAGGCGACCCAGAUUCCUUCCAGCAGAGACCGCCACGCCGCUGGACCUCUCGUCCACCACCAGACCACGGAGCCAGCUCCCAGCUCCACCCUGUGCUGCACAGCUGGAUCCGCCGCCCCCCCCUCCUACAGCCAGGUCCCCCCACAGUGCUACCAGGCUGAAGACCGUGCCCAACAUCCUGACCCGAAGGAAGCCGCCCUCUCCGCCUUUGUCCCCCUCGCCGUCCCCUCCCGUCGGGUGGAGCGAGAGUAGAGAAGCUCCGGCCUUCCACACCUCCAUGAUGCCAGCCGGCCUUGUUUCCUUCCUGUGUCCGUUACCAGGGCAACAGGUCCUCACACUGAAGCACAUGGCGUAUGAACCGGGAGCCCCGCCUCCAAACCCAGAUGGUCCUUUCACCACCCUCUUGUACCUGGUGCCCUCAAACACAGCCCUGCAACAACUACAGGGGCCGGCAGUCGAGGAACCUGGGUCCCUACCCCAGCCCCAGACCCUCCAGGCUGGGUCCCUACCCCACCCCCAGACCCUCUUCUCUGCUGGGUCUCAACCCCACCAGACCCUCUUCUCUGCUGGGGCACCACCACCACCCCACCAGACCUUCCCUGCUGGAUCGAUACCCCACCCCCAGACCCUCCCCUCUGGGGUGCCUGUGGCCAAACUUGAAGAGUGUGGGCCCAGGCCCCCGGGCCCCGUCCUGCCCGCGGCCGCCCCCCCCUCGGAGACCCGGCCCGCACUGCUGAUCCCGGACGGGGGUAAGGCCCUCUUCCCUCCCCUGAACCAGCUCUCCUUCCUCAAAGCAAACAUUGGCUCGCCGGCAGACCGGACCGCGCUCUCGUUUGUGCCCGGACACCCGUUCUCAUCCCUGGGCCGUGAGCCCCACAAAGACGGACCCCUCGGACCCUCCCUGUCCACUGAGGACCUGACGGAGGCCACGCAGGUCGACACUCACCUGGAGAAUGCAGCUGGCCCGGAGCCCAACGGUUGCCACGCACUACACUACCCACAAUGCAGUUCAACGAGUGGUACGCUGACACUGCCCCCGCUGCUGCAGAUGAAUGUGGGCGGAGCCAAAGUGAGCGAGUCCACCAAUAAGAGAGCAGUGGGUGCGUGGAAGCCUAUGCCCCGCCUCGCUGCUAUGGGGGUGAAGGGGGGGACCCCCCAUCUGACCUCUGCCCCCUGA
This is a long non-coding RNA of Gadus morhua (Atlantic cod), 2205 nucleotides long. Lineage: Eukaryota; Metazoa; Chordata; Actinopteri; Gadiformes; Gadidae. The record is from Ensembl.